This 253-nucleotide ribosomal RNA is filed under the name uncultured bacterium. Its description in RNAcentral is "partial 16S ribosomal RNA". It matches the Rfam family "Bacterial small subunit ribosomal RNA", at positions 524 to 776 of the family's 1533-position model. The record is from RNAcentral.
UACGAAGGGGGCGAGCGUUGUUCGGAUUUACUGGGCGUAAAGGGCGCGUAGGCGGCCCUCUUUGUCGCGUGUGAAAGCCCCGGGCUCAACCUGGGAAUGGCGCGCGAAACGGGGGGGCUUGAGUUCGGGAGAGGAGAGUGGAAUUCCCAGUGUAGAGGUGAAAUUCGUAGAUAUUGGGAAGAACACCGGUGGCGAAGGCGGCUCUCUGGACCGAGACUGACGCUGAGGCGCGAAAGCGUGGGGAGCAAACAGG